UACGAAGGGGGCUAGCGUUGUUCGGAAUCACUGGGCGUAAAGGGCGCGUAGGCGGCGGUUCAAGUCGGGGGUGAAAGCCUGUGGCUCAACCACAGAAUGGCCUUCGAUACUGGACGGCUCGAGACCGGAAGAGGUCAGUGGAACUGCGAGUGUAGAGGUGAAAUUCGUAGAUAUUCGCAAGAACACCAGUGGCGAAGGCGGCUGACUGGUCCGGUUCUGACGCUGAGGCGCGAAAGCUAGGGGGGCAAACGG
Molecule: ribosomal RNA, 252 nt
Filed under: uncultured prokaryote
Description: partial 16S ribosomal RNA
Rfam family: Bacterial small subunit ribosomal RNA
Source: RNAcentral